CCUACGGGAGGCAGCAGUGAGGAAUAUUGGUCAAUGGACGAAAGUCUGAACCAGCCAAGCAGCGUGCAGGAAGACGGCUCUAUGAGUUGUAAACUGCUUUUAUAAGAGGGUAAACGCAGAUACGUGUAUCUGUUUGCAUGUACCGUACGAAUAAGGAUCGGCUAACUCCGUGCCAGCAGCCGCGGUAAUACGGAGGAUUCAAGCGUUAUCCGGAUUUAUUGGGUUUAAAGGGUGCGUAGGCGGUCGGUUAAGUUAGGAGUCAAAUCCCGGGGCUCAACUUCGGAAUUGCCUGUGAUACUAUACGACUAGAGUGUGAGUGCGGUAGGCGGAAUGUAUGGUGUAGCGGUGAAAUGCUUAGAGAUCACGCAGAACAUCGAUUGCGAAGGCAGCAUACC
This 395-nucleotide ribosomal RNA is filed under the name uncultured bacterium. RNAcentral's name for it is "partial 16S ribosomal RNA". It matches the Rfam family "Bacterial small subunit ribosomal RNA", at positions 338 to 730 of the family's 1533-position model. The record is from RNAcentral.